GGGCUAAUGAUGGAAAAAUCAUUAUUGGAAAAGAAUGACAUGAACAAAGGAACCACUGAAGUGC
Gorilla gorilla gorilla (western lowland gorilla) is the source of this 64-nucleotide small nucleolar RNA. Its record names the gene SNORD42. It matches the Rfam family "Small nucleolar RNA SNORD42". Rfam says of the family: snoRNA U42 is found in intron 3 of the ribosomal protein L23a (RPL23a) gene in humans and is also present in mice. U42 is a member of the C/D class of snoRNA which contain C (UGAUGA) and D (CUGA) box motifs. NCBI's taxonomy places the organism in Eukaryota, Metazoa, Chordata, Mammalia, Primates, Hominidae. The record is from Ensembl.